UACGUAGGUGGCAAGCGUUGUCCGGAAUUAUUGGGCGUAAAGCGCGCGCAGGCGGUCUUUUAAGUCUGAUGUGAAAGCCCACGGCUCAACCGUGGAGGGUCAUUGGAAACUGGGAGACUUGAGUGUAGGAGAGGAAAGUGGAAUUCCACGUGUAGCGGUGAAAUGCGUAGAGAUGUGGAGGAAUACCGGUUGCGAAGGCGACUCUCUGGUCUGUAACUGACGCUGAGGCGCGAAAGCGUGGGGAGCAAACAGG
RNAcentral lists this unclassified non-coding RNA (253 nucleotides) under uncultured Bacillaceae bacterium. RNAcentral's name for it is "contains 16S-23S intergenic spacer region". It matches the Rfam family "Bacterial small subunit ribosomal RNA", at positions 524 to 776 of the family's 1533-position model. The record is from RNAcentral. Lineage: Bacteria; Bacillati; Bacillota; Bacilli; Caryophanales; Bacillaceae.